Molecule: transfer RNA, 74 nt
Filed under: Candidatus Phaeomarinibacter ectocarpi
Lineage: Bacteria; Pseudomonadati; Pseudomonadota; Alphaproteobacteria; Hyphomicrobiales; Parvibaculaceae
Description: Candidatus Phaeomarinobacter ectocarpi tRNA-Arg-TCT
Rfam family: tRNA
About the family: Transfer RNA (tRNA) molecules are approximately 80 nucleotides in length. Their secondary structure includes four short double-helical elements and three loops (D, anti-codon, and T loops).
Source: RNAcentral
GCGCCCGUAGCUCAACUGGAUAGAGCAACGGCCUUCUAAGCCGUAGGUUGCAGGUUCAAGUCCUGCCGGGCGCG